UAUGAUUAUUUGAUGAGUGUUAUUCUUUCAAUAUUAUGAUCUAUCAUAUGCUUGCUUUUUAAUCCUAUCUCCACUGCUACAUGUUACAUGUAACACAUGAAUUAAAAUAUCUUUAUUCAAGGUUGUAAUGAGAUUGUGGUUAAGGUGAGGUAAAUAAAGGUAAAGAAAAUGUUAAAUAACCAAAUAAUCUAUUUACAACAUGAAAAUGAUGAACUCAACAACAUUUAAUCAUUAGAGUACACAUAUUCAUCAUUAUAAAAGCAUAAAUACUUCAGUUCUUUUGAUUUCAAAUCCCCACAAUAUAUUCUCAUUAAACUCACAAAGAGAAUUUGUUUUCUUUUAUUUCUUUUAUCACUAACAUGUUUUGGAUUUUUUAUUUUAAUUUUUUAAUUGAUUUGGCCAAAAUUGAUCAUACUCAAACUCAACGCAAAAAUCCAUCAAAUAACUACUUUUUCUCAGAAUAUCUAACCAUAAACCCAUAUAAACAUAACACAUAUGUUCUACUAGUCUUUUGGCUAGAAAAAAGAAAACAUAUAAAAAGUUAAGUCUUAUAAACAUAGGUAAAGCAAAGAAAAGAUAAAUAAGAGCUCAUUAAUAGAUAACAUACUUUAGGUUGCUUUUUAGAUUCAAAAUAGUUAAAUUCCUACAUGCCUUUAUCAUGUUCAUGCAUACAUGUAAUGUCAAUGUAGUCUCUAUAAGACAUUAAACAAGUUCUGGAAAUACAUAACUUUUGAAUGAAUAAAGACCAUUUGAUUCAUGUGUGCCAUGUAAUACUUAGUAAUGAAGAUAAGAUUGAAGAGCAAGC
RNAcentral lists this long non-coding RNA (805 nucleotides) under Populus trichocarpa (black cottonwood). Its description in RNAcentral is "long non-coding RNA (PTRI_LNC003080)". Lineage: Eukaryota; Viridiplantae; Streptophyta; Magnoliopsida; Malpighiales; Salicaceae. The record is from RNAcentral.